UGGCUCAGUGGUUAAGAGCACUGAAUGUUCCAGAGGUCCUGGGUUCAAUUCCCAG
Molecule: transfer RNA, 55 nt
Filed under: Mesocricetus auratus (golden hamster)
Lineage: Eukaryota; Metazoa; Chordata; Mammalia; Rodentia; Cricetidae
Rfam family: tRNA
About the family: Transfer RNA (tRNA) molecules are approximately 80 nucleotides in length.
Source: Rfam by way of RNAcentral